Humulus lupulus (European hop) is the source of this 1359-nucleotide long non-coding RNA. RefSeq lists it as uncharacterized. NCBI's taxonomy places the organism in Eukaryota, Viridiplantae, Streptophyta, Magnoliopsida, Rosales, Cannabaceae. The transcript is spliced from 3 exons. The record is from RefSeq and is a predicted model, not a curated record.
AACUGUUCGACUUUAUUUGGGUCGAAUUUCAAACGUCGCGCUACAAAUCCUCAUCUUAUUUAUAUUAUUUUUAAAUAUUAUCUUUCUCAAACGAAUUCCCUCACUCUCUUUUUCUCUUGAAUUCUCUCACCUCUUGUUAUCUGCAAUCUCAUACUCAAGCGUUAUGGAGUUUCAGAUCAUGUUCAUUCAGCUCUUGGUCACUCGGUGGCUUUGGCCUCUCUACUUGGAGUUGGACUUGGUUAUACGAUAACCAUUGCGUUUCAAAGUUACUUAUACGAGUACCUAUCCGUGAAACAACAUCUACUUGGAGUUGGACUUGGCCUCUCUACUUGGAGUGGACUUGACUUAUUUGGGCAGUCUUUGUACAUCUUAUCCAGUACCUAUCCAUCCAGUGGUGGCUUGACGACCUCUUCAACGGGGAUAAUGUUCUACAGUUUAAGAUCCAAAAUCACUUAUGGGCAUCUUGACCUCUUCUACAUGGUCUUUGUACAUCUUCUCCAGUACCUAUCCGUCCAGUGGGUGAGUUCUUGUCAGUUCAAUAUUUAAUUUCUUGAUUAGAUCUUUAAGCACGUUAUAAGCGUCUUGACCUCUUCUACAUUGUCUAUGCACAUCUUUUUCAGUACCUAUCCAUCUAGUGGGUGAGUUUAUAUCAAUAUUUAAUUUCUUGUUUUACUUUUUUAACACAGAACUUCUUAUUAUUUUUUCAACAUCUUGAGUAUUAAUAAAACGGCGUCUCCUUUUUUGCUCGUUAUGAUAUGUUAGAGUUAGACUCUUAAUUUUGAUAUUUAGAUUCUCCUAGAGCAUGCACUGUAUAUUGCAUUCCUGAAUGUCUAGUACAAGUUUAGCAUGCAUCUAUAGUCAAAGAUGAGUUUUUAUCUGUCAUUUAAAUUUUUGUAGUCAUCAUUAUUAUUAUAAUUAUUAUUUUGCUUGAACGGUUUAUAAUCUUUGACUGAUUAAGAUAUAUUUUUAGUAGAUGCUGAGGUUGGUAUCAUAAAUUUUAUAUUCUUUUAGAAGAACAUCUUAAUAGGCAGCUAUUAGCCAUUGACUUUGUUCAGUUGGCGGCACGAAUUUGAGAAAAUCCCUUUAACAUUAGUUCAUUUGCGUAAAAUUGUGUAUGGUGCUUACCUUUUUAGCUUGUGAACAUAAAUUCUUUAUUUAUUCGUCAUGAUAUUUUGUCUGUAUUAAAGAAUUGGGGAUCAUCUGGUAGUUCUGAUGACCAAAAGAAUAGUUGUCCGCUAGUGCUUGUUUCAUUUCCCAAAACAGAGGUAAUACUUGCUUAAGAAUCUUGACGGUGGAUGUCCUGGUGACAGUUGAAAAAUUCAAUAAUUGGAGUAUGUGCUAAGAUGGAUGUAACAAUUU